Long non-coding RNA from Malus domestica (apple), 629 nucleotides. RefSeq lists it as uncharacterized. The record is from RefSeq and is a predicted model, not a curated record. Lineage: Eukaryota; Viridiplantae; Streptophyta; Magnoliopsida; Rosales; Rosaceae.
GUAAAUUUAGGUAUUUUUUACCCAAAUUUUUUUUUCGUUAAGCUUUCAUCUUGCUGUAAAUUUAGGAGUUUUCUCUCUGUGUUGGUUCAUCUGCUUAUACUUUUCAAAUGUUGGUUCAUCUUAUGCAAAUAUUGAUAUGCUUAACAGCCUGCUGACGGCAACAGUGGCUGCAGAAGUGGAGGAAAUGACGAUGGUAAUUGAGGUGCAGUGGUAACAGGAGAGGUAGCAGGAGGCAGUGACCGUGGUGGCGAAGACAUUGUUGGUUGCAGAGGUUUUAUUGAAAACAAACUUAUACAUCCCAACGCAAAAGGAGAGAGGAGGCAAUGGCUAGCAUUGUUGAUAACGCACUUCUCUUUGGAAAGAAACAUGUUUGGUCUUCAAUACACCAUUUAAAUGUGAAGGAGGAAGUUCCCCUCUCACAUGGUUAGAGCCGUAUAGGUAAAUGAUUCUUUUUUCUUUGAUCAAGUAUUUGGUACUUUACCUUAUGUCUAAUGCCUUUUGUUGCUGUUUGUUUGUGUUAACUGAUAUUUUUGAAUCUUUGGUAGUAUUUUUAUACUCUUUUGGAAAGAAAUAAUUUAUUUUAUCCUGUGUUUUUUUUUCUCAAAUAAAUCCAUGAUUUGUUAAUUGUU